AGCAGCCGCGGUAAUUCCAGCUCCAAUAGCGUAUAUUAAAGUUGUUGCAGUUAAAAAGCUCGUAGUUGAAUUUCGAGAUCAGUACGCUGGUCGUGCCUUUGGUAUGCACUGGUGUCACUGGUUUCUCCCUUCUGAAGAACUGUCAUGCCAUUCAGUUGGUGUGGCGGGGAAUCAGGACUGUUACUUUGAAAAAAUUAGAGUGUUUAAAGUAGGCUCGCGCUUGAAUACAUUAGCAUGGAAUAAUGAAAUAGGACGUUUGACCCUAUUUUGUUGGUUUCUAGGAUCGACGUAAUGAUUAAUAGGGAUAGUUGGGGGCAUUAGUAUUCAAUUGUCAGAGGUGAAAUUCUUGGAUUUAUUGAAGACUAACUACUGCGAAAGCAUUUGCCAAGGAUGUUUUCAUUAAUCAAGAACGAAAGUUAGGGGAUCGAAGACGAUCAGAUACCGUCGUAGUCUUAACCAUAAACUAUGCCGACUAGGGAUUCGGAUGAUGUUAAUUUUUAAUGACUCAUUC
This 511-nucleotide ribosomal RNA is filed under the name uncultured Glomus. RNAcentral's name for it is "SSU rRNA". It matches the Rfam family "Eukaryotic small subunit ribosomal RNA", at positions 569 to 1081 of the family's 1831-position model. Lineage: Eukaryota; Fungi; Glomeromycota; Glomeromycetes; Glomerales; Glomeraceae. The record is from RNAcentral.